UUAAUUUAUCUUAUUGUGGUUUAACAUAUAUACUAGCGUGGGGACCCGCGCGAUGCGGCCGGUAGAAAUAUUUUAGUAAAGAUCUAUAGACUAUAGAUUUAAUAAACAAAUAAAAAUGUUAAAAAGAAACAGAAAAAAUAUUUAAAAUAUUAUGAAAGAUAAUAAAUAAUGAAAGAAAAACAAAAGAAGCUCAAAUUCACAUUUAACUAAUCAUAUAAAAAUAUUUAUCUAUCCUAUCAUCUUUCCUAACUCAAAUUAGAUUUAUCUUAAAAGCCAAUUAUUAUUACAUUUGCCUCUGAACAUCUAAAUUGUCAUGCCAUCAGAGAAUUAGUACGGAAUAUAAAGGAAUACAAGAAAAAGUAUGAAGGAAUAUAUGAUAGUCAUACAAAUAAAUUUAAAAAUAAUAAUAGUUAGUUUUUAACUACCGUUAAAUUGUAAAAGCCCACUUUUCAUAUAUCUAU
RNAcentral lists this long non-coding RNA (461 nucleotides) under Ananas comosus (pineapple). RNAcentral describes it as "long non-coding RNA (ACOM_LNC035065)". The record is from RNAcentral. Lineage: Eukaryota; Viridiplantae; Streptophyta; Magnoliopsida; Poales; Bromeliaceae.